This 497-nucleotide ribosomal RNA is filed under the name uncultured bacterium. Its description in RNAcentral is "partial 16S ribosomal RNA". It matches the Rfam family "Bacterial small subunit ribosomal RNA", at positions 28 to 507 of the family's 1533-position model. The record is from RNAcentral.
GAUGAACGCUGGCGGCGUGCCUAACACAUGCAAGUCGAGCGAAAAGACGAGGCGCUUGCUGCUCUGACGUUAGCGGCGGGCGGGUGAGUAACACGUGGAUAACCUACCUAUAAGACUGGGAUAACUUCGGGACACCGGCUCUAAUACCGGAUAAUCUAUUGCACCGCAUGGUUCAAUAGUGAAAGACGGUUUUGCUGUAUCUUCUAGAUGGAUCCGCGCCGCAUUAGCUAGUUGGUAAGGUAACGGCUUACCACGGCAACGAUGCGUAGCCGACCGGAGAGGGUGAUCGGCCGCACUGGAACUUAGACACGCUCCAGACGCCUGCGGGAGGCAGCAGUAUGCAAUCGUCCGCAAUGGGCGAAAGCUUGACGGAGCAACGCCGCGUGAGUGAUGAAGGUCUUCGGAGCGUAAAACUCUGUUAUGAGGGAAGAACAAAUGUGUAAGUAACUAUGCACGUCGUGACGGUACCUAAUCAGAAAGCCACGGCUAACUACGUG